Molecule: non-coding RNA, 204 nt
Organism: Oryza glumipatula
Lineage: Eukaryota; Viridiplantae; Streptophyta; Magnoliopsida; Poales; Poaceae
Source: Rfam
GUCCCAAAAAACCCUCUGUUUUCGUGUCCAACUUUGAUUAUCCGUCUUAUAUGAAAUUUUUUUAUAAUUCGUAUUUUCAUUGUUGUUAGAUGAUAAAGCAUGAUUAAUAUUUUAUGCGUAACUUGUCUUUUUAAUUUUUUCAUAAUUUUUUUAAAUAAGACGGACGGUCAAACAUAGGGCACGGAAACCAGGGUUUACCUUUUU